AACAAGGCGUACCUGCGGACCUGCGGAAGGAUCAUUACAACAAGGCCACGGGCCCCCGAAGCUCCGGCGGAAGGGGCACCGGCCUGACUUAUAUACCCACCCUUUGCCUAUGUGUACCUCUAUCGCUUCCUCGGCGGGUUCGCCCGCCGCCAGGAACCCACGCCAACCUUUGCAUUAUACAUCAACACUUCUGAUACCCACCAAAACUAUUACAACUUUUAACAACGGAUCUCAGAUCGG
Molecule: unclassified non-coding RNA, 240 nt
Filed under: soil metagenome
Description: partial contains 5.8S ribosomal RNA, internal transcribed spacer 2, and large subunit ribosomal RNA
Source: RNAcentral